AGCGGAGGAAAGAACCAACCGGGAUUGCCUUAGUAACGGCGAGUGAAGCGGCAAAAGCUCAAAUUUGAAAUCUGGCGUCUUCGACGUCCGAGUUGUAAUUUGAAGAAGGCGACUUUGUAGCUGGUCCUUGUCUAUGUUCCUUGGAACAGGACGUCAUAGAGGGUGAGAAUCCCGUGUGGCGAGGAUCCCAGUUAUUUGUAAAGUGCUUUCGACGAGUCGAGUUGUUUGGGAAUGCAGCUCUAAGUGGGUGGUAAAUUCCAUCUAAAGCUAAAUAUUGGCGAGAGACCGAUAGCGAACAAGUACAGUGAUGGAAAGAUGAAAAGAACUUUGAAAAGAGAGUGAAAAAGUACGUGAAAUUGUUGAAAGGGAAGGGCAUUUGAUCAGACAUGGCGUUUGCUUCGGCUUUCGCUGGGCCAGCAUCAGUUUUAGCGGUUGGAUAAAUCCUCGGGAAUGUGGCUCUGCUUCGGUAGAGUGUUAUAGCCCGUGGGAAUACAGCCAGCUGGGACUGAGGAUUGCGACUUUUGUCAAGGAUGCUGGCGUAAUGGUUAAAUGCCGCCCGUCUUGAAACACGGACCUCCUGUGUGAAGGGGAUCCGCUA
This 598-nucleotide ribosomal RNA is filed under the name Kluyveromyces marxianus. Its description in RNAcentral is "eukaryotic LSU rRNA". It matches the Rfam family "Eukaryotic large subunit ribosomal RNA", at positions 49 to 664 of the family's 3401-position model. The record is from RNAcentral. Lineage: Eukaryota; Fungi; Ascomycota; Saccharomycetes; Saccharomycetales; Saccharomycetaceae.